UGCGUAGGUGGUGAGGUAAGUCGGAUGUGAAAGCUCGGAGCUCAACUCCGAGAUGGCAUUGGAAACUACCUUGCUCGAGGGUUGGAGGGGGGACUGGAAUACUUGGUGUAGCAGUGAAAUGCGUAGAUAUCAAGUGGAACACCAGUGGCGAAGGCGAGUCCCUGGACAACUCCUGACACUGAGGCACGAAAGCUGGGAGCAAACA
Molecule: ribosomal RNA, 205 nt
Filed under: uncultured bacterium
Lineage: Bacteria
Description: partial 16S ribosomal RNA
Rfam family: Bacterial small subunit ribosomal RNA
Source: RNAcentral